RNAcentral lists this non-coding RNA (21 nucleotides) under Arabidopsis thaliana (thale cress). Lineage: Eukaryota; Viridiplantae; Streptophyta; Magnoliopsida; Brassicales; Brassicaceae. The record is from RNAcentral.
UAGUCAUAUGCUUGUCUCAAA